This is a regulatory RNA element of Methylosinus sp. 3S-1, 117 nucleotides long. It matches the Rfam family "ALIL pseudoknot". The record is from Rfam. NCBI's taxonomy places the organism in Bacteria, Pseudomonadati, Pseudomonadota, Alphaproteobacteria, Hyphomicrobiales, Methylocystaceae.
GUCUUAUUUUGCGGCGGCGGAGCUCGACCGCCGCUCGAAACAAUGAUCGCCUUCAUCGACGCUCAUCGGGAAGCGCACGGGGUCGAGCCGAUCUGCAAGCUCUUGCCGAUCGCCCCU